Molecule: long non-coding RNA, 250 nt
Organism: Bufo gargarizans (Asiatic toad)
Lineage: Eukaryota; Metazoa; Chordata; Amphibia; Anura; Bufonidae
Exons: 3
Source: RefSeq, a predicted model, not a curated record
AGGAACAGUGGGUGGAGGAGAAAACAUCUCUUCUUCUUGAGUUAAAUCAACUGAAGAUAAAACUGGAAUAUGAAAAGUGUAGAGUUACAGACAUGGAGAAAAUGGAUUCUGAGCUUGUUAAGUGCCCACUGUGCAAUGGGGAAUAUCAGAGACAGAUUUCAGAUGCAAGAGCUGAAAAAGCAGAUGAAUUUGAACACAUCUCAUAUAUACACUAAAAAUACUGAAGAAAACACAUAUUGAGAGCUCAGAG